RNAcentral lists this ribosomal RNA (305 nucleotides) under uncultured bacterium. Its description in RNAcentral is "bacterial SSU rRNA". It matches the Rfam family "Bacterial small subunit ribosomal RNA", at positions 333 to 630 of the family's 1533-position model. The record is from RNAcentral.
GGUACCCUACGGGGGGCAGCAGUAGGGAAUUUUCGUCAAUGGGCGCAAGCCUGAACGAGCAACGCCGCGUGGGUGAAGAAGGUCUUCGGAUCGUAAAACCCUGUUGUUAGAGAAGAAAGUGCGUGAGAGUAACUGUUCACGUUUCGACGGUAUCUAACCAGAAGGCCACGGCUAACUACGUGCCAGCAGCCGCGGUAAUACGUAGGUGGCAAGCGUUAUCCGGAUUUAUUGGGCGUAAAGGGAACGCAGGCGGUCUUUUAAGUCUGAUGUGAAAGCCUUCGGCUUAACCGGAGUAGUGCAUUGGA